UUGACCUCGGAUCAGGUAGGGAUACCCGCUGAACUUAAGCAUAUCAAUAAGCGGAAGAUUACCGAGUGAGGACCCUCUGGGUCCAACCUCCACCAUGUUUAUUGUACCUUGUUGCUUCGGCGGGCCCGCUUUGUGGCCGCGGGGGGCUCUGCCGGGCGCCGCCGAAGA
Molecule: ribosomal RNA, 168 nt
Filed under: Penicillium virgatum
Lineage: Eukaryota; Fungi; Ascomycota; Eurotiomycetes; Eurotiales; Aspergillaceae
Description: partial 28S ribosomal RNA
Source: RNAcentral